UGGGAAGUGGCAGAGCGGUAGCUGCUAGGCUGAUUUGAUUUGCCGUUUCCCAAGACUGCCUAUUCUAAAGUCUUUUCACCAAAGCCAGGCCAUAAUGGUUUUUGUUCAGUCAAGGGCAGCGGCAAGCAUUGGAUGAGGCAUGUUGGGAAAGUGGGCUUGGAAGAGCUCUAGGGGAAGUGCCAGAAUGUGAUGACAACCGUGCGGUUUGUGGAGCGUCACACCACUCCAGACUCCUGAAGAAAAGUGGUGUUCAAGCAUGGACGAGAUAAUCAAGGAGGCGCUUUGACGUUGGCUAGCCACGGGUUGGAGAGGCUGUGGAUGAGAAAAUCGUAAGGGAGGACCACCCAUUGGGCUCGGAGGAGAGAGAUUCCCUACACGCCGUCUCUUUGGAAUAUUAAUGGGCUUCUCCUGGGAAAACUGCCCACAGAAUAGGCCACUCCAUCGCUGUCUCUGUUUCCGCUCAGCUGUCCUGAGGGUACGUGAGGGUGUUCGGUGCAAUCCGGCCUGGAGAAACCUCAAGUACACCUCAAACUUUUGUUUUGAUGUUUCAUUAAGGACUCUUGGAAAUUGAGCAUUUCUUUUUUUCCCCCUAGAAUAUAUUACAGCUUUUAUUACACAAUAAAAAGCACAGGAACGAUUACAUUUAUGAUGUCAAAUUCCUCAGUCUCAAUUUUAUAACCGCAAUCAAUAAGGAGACAUAUUGAUUGAAAUGAGGGGAUCAUUAGCACGUGAGGGAUUGGGGAAUGAUGACAGUGAUGAUUGGGGAGGUGACAAUGAUGCCGAUCACCAGUGGUUGUCAUCACUGGAGCUGCACUCGAUGGCAGAAGCCCAGACGUCUCAUCUGUUUGGCCGUUAUGAGAGUGACCGUCCUAAUGGCUUCCACAGAUGGCAGAGCUCGCUGAAGUCAUUGCACUUUUCUUUCAAUCCCUUUUGCAUUCUUUAUCUGUAUUUGAGUCUCUGUUACUUGCUUUCAGUCAUUCCACUAUUUCCACUAUUUGAGUUUUCGGCAUAUUUAUGUGAAGAAUCCAGUUUUUUUACAAGCCUGCCAAGCUGUGAAUGAAAUAAGAUGAAUUUGAAAUGGUAGGGAGGUCAAUAACAAAUUGUGUUAGAAUGCU
This is a long non-coding RNA of Cyprinus carpio carpio, 1115 nucleotides long. Lineage: Eukaryota; Metazoa; Chordata; Actinopteri; Cypriniformes; Cyprinidae. The record is from Ensembl.